Molecule: ribosomal RNA, 224 nt
Filed under: Vibrio cholerae
Lineage: Bacteria; Pseudomonadati; Pseudomonadota; Gammaproteobacteria; Vibrionales; Vibrionaceae
Description: partial 16S ribosomal RNA
Rfam family: Bacterial small subunit ribosomal RNA
Source: RNAcentral
UUAAUUGAAGAGUUUGAUCAUGGCUCAGAUUGAACGCUGGCGGCAGGCCUAACACAUGCAAGUCGAGCGGCAGCACAGAGGAACUUGUUCCUUAGGUGGCGAGCGGCGGACGGGUGAGUAAUGCCUGGGAAAUUGCCCGGUAGAGGGGGGUAACCAUUGGAAACGAUGGCUAAUACCGCAUAACCUCGCAAGAGCAAAGCAGGGGACCUUCGGGCCUUGCGCUA